Molecule: long non-coding RNA, 1248 nt
Filed under: Olea europaea subsp. europaea
Lineage: Eukaryota; Viridiplantae; Streptophyta; Magnoliopsida; Lamiales; Oleaceae
Source: RNAcentral
AAAAACCUACUUCAAAGGAGAGAACAUUGAUAUGGGUAGUCGCGAAAUACUGGGUUAUGUCUGUAGCCACUAGGAAGGUGAUUUGGUUAAACAAACAUGUAUUUGAUCUUUGCAUUUAUUUCAUCAUUGCAACGCCUUUUCAUUGUGAUAAUAACAACAAACACACACACACACACACACAUUCACAAAGGCAAUUUCAACAUCUUCUCAAAAAUUCUCAAAAAUUCACCACACUUCAACAAAUUUUCUCCAUAAAUCACUUGACCAUUUAAGUUCCAACAUAAUUAUACAUCAUAUAAAACUAGUUUUAGGAACAUUAAAUUUCAAGAAAUCCAAGGGUCUAAACUUUGAAGAUUUUCAAUUUUUGAUACUUUUCUUGAUUUCUUCCACUUGAUUGAAAAAAUUUCAUAUGUUUGAUGGAGAACGGGAUUAGUUGUAAUGGAGGCUAUGUAUUAGUUGAAAACGUUGGUAUUAAACACAUAUAUGUCAAUUUUUUUUGUCCCUACAUAAAAUCAUGCCCAUUACAUGCUCCAAAAGAAAAAGGGGUAAUUAUAUUACCACUACAAAAUUUAGUAGUUACACCACAUUUUUUUAUUUACUUAUUUAGUCAUAAGUAAAAUUACAUAAAUGGGUUUUAAAUAUAUUUAUUAUAUAAAACAAUUUAUCGUGCCACCAUAAUCAUAUCAACUUACAUUACCUUUUUUCUGAAGGUCAUAUGAAAGAAAAUCGCCAUUAGCAGAGAGUUUGGGUACGAGGAGCUCGACCCGAGGAAGAAAAAUAUGUGGUGUUUAAUCCAUAGCAAGUCUACGAGCCAAUGGUCGGCAUUCUGAUGCAGCAAGUUGCAGAAACUGUUCUAAUUGCUUCUUGAAUAAUACAAAUGUAGCCUGAGGGCACUAAUUUGACAUCAAGUAUUGGCAACUUUUUCAUAUGGCUGACUGUUGAAGAUUAUGAUUCGACUAGGAUAUGAGAAGGGAAAUGGGACAUAGGAUUGGGGGAGUCAUCUCCGCCUCAUUAUUUGGUAAAUCUUCAGUGAAAUUUAUUUUGUGGGUUUCUCUAUUUCUUUGGCUCAAUUCAGCACAAAUAAAUUGUGAUGUUGUUUUGGAAUCAAACACAAGUGUAGUUAAAAAAAAUUAUAUAUAUUUGGGGGGCGGGAGACUGAUCUUUUGGUACAUGGACUAAUUAAGUUUUACUUUUUCCUUUUCCAUUUGUCUUUCUAUAUAUUUAGAAUAUCUUUUCUUACAAUGGAAG